UGCUACCGAGUCUCUAACCUAGCAAGCCUCUUACGAGAUUUAUCCUUAGUCGUCUCUUGUCCAAUGACUCUCAGGGUUGUGCCAUAGAUUCAUAACAAAUAUCUUACUAAUCCUAGUUCUGUGUAACGGGCGUACUACCGAUUAACGGACUAAGCACCAUCCUAAAUACAGAUUACGAAUUGAUUAAAGAAAGAAAGAGAAAAGAGAUCAGAAGAAAAGGUCGUAUGAAGGGGUUCUUAUAGAGGGGAGAUUGAGAUGGAGGAAUAUCAGAAGCCGCGCCACAGUGGAGCGCAGAGUGGAAGAAUAUUAAGGGUUAUAUGCAGAGG
Molecule: small RNA, 326 nt
Filed under: Histoplasma ohiense
Lineage: Eukaryota; Fungi; Ascomycota; Eurotiomycetes; Onygenales; Ajellomycetaceae
Description: hypothetical lncRNA
Source: RNAcentral